This 354-nucleotide ribosomal RNA is filed under the name uncultured bacterium. RNAcentral's name for it is "partial 16S ribosomal RNA". It matches the Rfam family "Bacterial small subunit ribosomal RNA", at positions 338 to 703 of the family's 1533-position model. The record is from RNAcentral.
CCUACGGGGGGCGGCAGUCGAGAAUCAUUCACAAUGGGGGAAACCCUGAUGGUGCGACGCCGCGUGGGGGAAUGAAGGUCUUCGGAUUGUAAACCCCUGUCAUGUGGGAGCAAAUUAAAAAGAUAGUACCACAAGAGGAAGAGACGGCUAAAUCUGUGCCAGCAGCCGCGGUAAUACAGAGGUCGCAAGAGUUGUUCGGGAUCACUGGGCGUAAAGCGUGCGUAGGCUGUUUCGUAAGUCGUGUGUGAAAGGCGCGGGCUCAACCCGCGGACGGCGCAUGAUACUGCGAGACUAGAGAAAGGGAGGGGGGACCGGGAUACUCGGUGUAGCAGGGAAAUGCGUAGAUAUCGAGAG